Molecule: ribosomal RNA, 497 nt
Filed under: uncultured bacterium
Lineage: Bacteria
Description: partial 16S ribosomal RNA
Rfam family: Bacterial small subunit ribosomal RNA
Source: RNAcentral
GAUGAACGCUGGCGGCGUGCCUAAUACAUGCAAGUCGAGCGAACAGAUAAGGAGCUCGCUCCUUUGACGUUAGCGGCGGACGGGUGAGUUACACGUGGAUAACCUACCUAUAAGACUGGGAUAACUUCGGGAAACCGGAGCUAAUACCGGAUAACAUAUUGAACCGCAUGGUUCAAUAGUGAAAGGCGGCUUUGCUGUCACUUAUAGAUGGAUCCGCGCCGUAUUAGCUAGUUGGUAAGGUAACGGCUUACCAAGGCAACGAUACGUAGACGACCUGAGAGGGUGAUCGGCCACACUGGAACUGAGACACGGUCCAGACUCCUACGGGAGGCAGCAGUAGGGAAUCUUCCGCAAUGGGCGAAAGCCUGACGGAGCAACGCCGCGUGAGUGAUGAAGGUCUUCGGAUCGUAAAACUCUGUUAUCAGGGAAGAACAAAUGUGUAAGUAACUGUGCACAUCUUGACGGUACCUGAUCAGAAAGCCACGGCUAACUACGUG